ACCGAUGUGCAUGAUUACGAAGUGAAAAUGCGCAACGUCAUCAAAUUCCUCGAAAAUGGCGACAAGGUGAAGGUCACCCUGCGCUUCCGUGGUCGUGAGAUGGCGCACCAGAAUCUGGGCCUCGAACUGCUCAACCGCGUCCGCGACGAUGUGGGCGAAUUGGGUAAGGUCGAAAGCAUGCCCCGGCUGGAAGGCCGCCAGAUGGUGAUGAUGAUCGGCCCGACCCGCUAGGCGUCUCGCAUCUUGAGACCAGAUCGAACCCUCCCUGACUGGGGAGGGUUUUUUCAUGCCCGCCGCAUGAGCCUGGUCCGGACAUGGCCGAGCGGACACCUGCUGCGCCGA
Molecule: unclassified non-coding RNA, 342 nt
Filed under: Thioclava dalianensis
Lineage: Bacteria; Pseudomonadati; Pseudomonadota; Alphaproteobacteria; Rhodobacterales; Paracoccaceae
Description: Long range pseudoknot
Source: RNAcentral